RNAcentral lists this ribosomal RNA (440 nucleotides) under uncultured bacterium. RNAcentral describes it as "partial 16S ribosomal RNA". It matches the Rfam family "Bacterial small subunit ribosomal RNA", at positions 338 to 795 of the family's 1533-position model. The record is from RNAcentral.
CCUACGGGAGGCAGCAGUAGGGAAUAUUGCUCAAUGGGGGAAACCCUGAAGCAGCAACGCCGCGUGGAGGAUGAAGGUUUUCGGAUUGUAAACUCCUUUUGUUAGAGAAGAUAAUGACGGUAUCUAACGAAUAAGCACCGGCUAACUCCGUGCCAGCAGCGGUGGCAAUACGGAGGAUGCAAGCGUUAUACGGAAUCACUGGGCGUAAAGCGAGCGUAGGCGGGAUAGCAAGUCAGAUGUGAAAUCCUACGGCUUAACCGUAAAACUGCAUUUGAAACUGUUAUUCUUGAGUAUGGUAGAGGUAGGCGGAAUUCGUGGUGUAGAGGUGAAAUGCGUAGAUAUCAAGAAGAAUACUGAUUGCGAAGGCAGCCUGCUGGAAUGUAACUGACGCUGAUGCGCGAAAGUGUGGGUAGCAAACAGGAUUAGAUACCCGGGUAGUC